UCUGCAACCCGACUCCAUGAAGCUGGAUUCGCUAGUAAUCGCGCAUCAGCCACGGCGCGGUGAAUACGUUCCCGGGCCUUGUACACACCGCCCGUCAAGCCAUGGAAGCCGGGAGUGCCUGAAGUGCGUGAGCGCAAGCAGCGCCCUAAGGUAAAACCGGUGACUGGGGCUAAGUCGUAACAAGGUAGC
RNAcentral lists this ribosomal RNA (189 nucleotides) under uncultured bacterium. RNAcentral's name for it is "partial 16S ribosomal RNA". It matches the Rfam family "Bacterial small subunit ribosomal RNA", at positions 1304 to 1500 of the family's 1533-position model. The record is from RNAcentral.